AUUGGGGAGGUAAGGUCCCUCAGCCCGGAUUGUGAGAGGGCGCAGGCCAGGUCGAGGGACCCCACCAGUGCACG
This 74-nucleotide microRNA precursor is filed under the name Myotis davidii. RNAcentral describes it as "mir-9193 microRNA precursor family". It matches the Rfam family "mir-9193 microRNA precursor family". The record is from Rfam by way of RNAcentral. Lineage: Eukaryota; Metazoa; Chordata; Mammalia; Chiroptera; Vespertilionidae.